AACGCACCUUGCGCCCCUCGGUAUUCCGAGGAGCAUGCCCGUUUGAGUGUCUUGAUAUCAUCAAGCCCCGAGCCCCUUGUGGCCCUGGCGCUUGGACUUGGACGUGGUGCCGGGCGUUGCCGCCCGGCUCGUCUGAAAUUCAUUAGCGAGAAGCGUGAGCUAUGGCCGGCUCUCAUUGGCGUGAUAAGGUCACACCCGUCGAGAGGCCCCCCGGACCUGCGAUCGCCGCACCGCUCCCAACCGUCCUCCGGACAACAGCGAGCCUGCCCCCGUGGCGGUUCGACGUCUGACCUCAAAUCGGGUAGGACUACCCGCUGAACUUAA
Molecule: unclassified non-coding RNA, 324 nt
Filed under: uncultured fungus
Lineage: Eukaryota; Fungi
Description: sequence contains ITS2
Source: RNAcentral